CGCCGCACUCUCCUCACUUAUCCUCAAUCCCCUCCCUCCUUCGAAACCUAGGGCACCACCGCAGCACCUCAACACGCAGUCCACGCCGCCGCCGCCGUAGCGCCGCAGUCCAUGCAGCUCCUCCACACGGCUGCAUCCGAUGCAUCCACCCAUCCCACUGCCACACCUCCACUCCGCCGCAUCCACGAAUCCGCACUGGUUCAAUGUGGUAAACUGAUUAUCCGCAUCCACGGAUCCGCCGCAUCCACCGCCACACCUCCCCCUCUCCUCACCUCCCCUGCUGCCCGCGGCCCCGCGCCGGAGCAGGUGGUGGCAGCGGCGGCGGGGCUGCGACCAUCUUCGCUGUGACUCAUCCGGGCUACGACCCACUUCAAGGUGUUGCUAGUUACAUCCGUUGGAGUUGCGGCUUCCGCCGAAUCCCCCAAUCCACACCCGCCAUGGCGUUCUGGGGGGUGGAAGUGAAGCCUAGGAAGCCCUAUACCCACACCCACCAGGCUGACCAUGGUCGCCUCCGCAUUUGCCAGGUUGGGGUUUUUGUCCAACCAGUUGCAGAGCUUGCAUGUAAAUCUAGCAGGGGCUCAACAAUGAACUACAGUGGAGUUUGCAAGAACUGAGGGGGGCCGUGGCCCAUGUUGACCUCACUGAAGCACUGCCCCUAUGUACAAUUAACAUGUGCCUUCUGCCCUUUGUCAUUUCCUACUCCUAAUAUGCCCCAUCUGUUAACAUGUCACCUGAAAUACUUUGGUUUUGUUGACAUGGGUAUAUGUUCUCUUUUAUUUGUAUCUAUCAUUUUUGAUAACAGAGAAGGUCUUGAAAUCAGGAUGGAAUAUUCAGUGAGUGUAAUUGCUUUUGAUUGCCUUCCGACACAGAAAUGUUUUCCAGUGAGCCUCCUAUUUGGUUGCAUGAUGUGACCUUGAUGACUUGACCAUUAAGAUCAAUAAAAAACUACGUUUACAGUUUACACUGCAUUAAGCGAAGCUUGUUCAAACUGAACAUUAAGAUCAAUAUAGAAUUUAUAUUUGCACUGAAUUAAACAGAGCUGAAUGCCUUGUUAGUUCCUUUUUACUUGGUUAAUAGUCCAUGAUACUGCAAUUAGCUAUUUCUGUCCUACUGCUGGAUUUGAAUGUACUAGAGAUUGAGUUUGAGGAGGUCGAUGAUGUUGUCUUUUCAGUGAUUGGUCAAAGUUCGAUUCAUCUCUCUGGAUACUAUGUCCGUGCAAGCAGCAGGUCCAAUGUGGGAGAUGAUGAAUCAGAAUCUUAUGGGGAAGAUAUUGGGCACUCUGAUACUGAUGAGGAGCAUGAUGCCAGUGAGGACAGCUAUGAAUCUGACUUUAUUGAUGAUCGUGAAGUUCCAACACCUGAGAAGUAUGGGUCUGAUUCUAUAGAUGAUAGUGAUUAUGAGUGCACCCUUCGACGACGACGCAAACAAAAAGGCUAACAUGGAGGCAUAUCUUGAUCAACAAAUAGAAGGACAAGCUCCAAAGAUGCCACUUGAGGAUGUUGGUAUGUAUGCAGCUCACAACAAAGAAGAAAAAUACCAAGUUUGCUAAAAUGACUGCUCGUGUGAAUGAUCUUGAGAGUGAACUGCAAGCUGCUCAGAUAGGAUCAGCUGGACUGCUAUGUUGUCGCUGUUAUGAGCUGCUGUGGUCACUUAUUGUGUUGCUGCUGUUGUGUCGCUACUAUUAUGUAAAUUUGAGACAACAGUUUCUUGAAUUGUAAGAUUAUUAGAGUGAAAUUAUUGUGAUGUCUUGCUGUGUUCGAGCAGCAGAUUCUUGAAUUGUAAGACUGGUGAUUUGGAGAUAAUAUUAUGUGAUGUAUGGGCUGUAUUGGCUGAA
RNA transcript from Sorghum bicolor (sorghum), 1834 nucleotides. It is a transcript of the gene named peptidyl-prolyl cis-trans isomerase FKBP43-like, with no coding region annotated. The record is from RefSeq and is a predicted model, not a curated record. The transcript has 5 exons. NCBI's taxonomy places the organism in Eukaryota, Viridiplantae, Streptophyta, Magnoliopsida, Poales, Poaceae.